RNA transcript from Cicer arietinum (chickpea), 3134 nucleotides. It is a transcript of the gene named protein ACTIVITY OF BC1 COMPLEX KINASE 8, chloroplastic-like, with no coding region annotated. The record is from RefSeq and is a predicted model, not a curated record. Lineage: Eukaryota; Viridiplantae; Streptophyta; Magnoliopsida; Fabales; Fabaceae.
CCAAUCACAAUUCUCCAAAGACUUUCGUAGCUCAUCUUUAACUUGCCACGUGUCAUCUCCUUCUUCAUCUUUCCACUUUUGUCCUUUUCCCUUCAACUACUCUUCUCCUUCUUCUACUUCUUUCUCUGCUUCUACUCUUUCACUCUCUCAUUUCAAUCCACACUCCAUGAAAACUAGGGUUCCACUUUGACACCCCCUCUCUCUAGUAACCAUUGAUCAAUGGCUGCGUCUUCUUUACUCUUAGCCGAACUCAAUUUUCUUGCUCCUCAAACCACACCAAAACGUCGUCGUUCUCUCUCUACAUUUACCUCUUACCGUUCCGUUUCGAGUCACAAAUACAAUGUUACUCUCCGCACUCGAAUUCGCGCUGUCAAAGAAGAAGGUGCAUUGCUUGAACAAGAGUUGACCGAAAGAAGAGUGAGCGAUGUGAAAUGGAGUGGAAACGGAGCUGUUACAAGUGUUGUAAACGGUAGCAAUGGCUCCGUUAAAGGUUACGUGAAUGGAGUUGCAAAUGGAAGCUUAGUGAAGUAUGUGAAUGGCAAUGGUGUGGCGGUGGAAGUGGUUGAAGAUUUCGUGGCAACAUCGAAACGGAGGGAAGAUGGGAGGAAGAGGAAGUUGGAGGAGAUUGGAAAAGAAGAUGCGUGGUUCAAACGAAGCGAGGAACCACAGGUUGAGGUGGCGGUUGCGCCUGGUGGUCGUUGGAGCAGAUUCAAGACGUACUCAACAAUCCAGAGAACAUUGGAAAUUUGGGGAUUUGUUAUUAAAUUUAUCUUCAAGUCUUGGCUGAAUCGUCAGAAGUUUUCUUAUAAAGGAGGAAUGACCGAGGAAAAGAAAACCUUAAGACGAAAGACCCUUGCCAAAUGGCUGAAGGAAAGCAUUCUGCGAUUAGGUCCUACAUUUAUCAAAAUUGGCCAGCAGUUCUCCACAAGAGUGGACAUUCUUCCUCAAGAAUAUGUUGACCAGUUGUCAGAACUUCAGGAUCAAGUUCCUCCAUUUCCCUCGGAGACUGCUAUGUCUAUUGUUGAGGAAGAGCUUGGAGCUCCUUUGGCUGGCAUAUUUGAUCAGUUUGACUAUGAGCCAAUAGCUGCUGCAAGUCUUGGUCAGGUUCAUCGUGCAAAAUUAAGAGGACAGGAGGUUGUUGUCAAGGUGCAAAGACCCGGUCUCAAGGAUCUUUUUGAUAUUGAUCUUAAAAAUCUUAGGGUUAUUGCUGAAUAUCUUCAAAAAAUUGAUCCUAAAUCAGAUGGUGCAAAGAGGGACUGGGUUGCUAUUUAUGAUGAGUGUGCCUCUGUUUUAUAUCAGGAGAUUGAUUACACCAAGGAAGGUGCUAAUGCAGAACUAUUUGCAAGCAACUUUAAGAGCAUGGAUUAUGUGAAAGUCCCUUCAAUUUUCUGGGAUUAUACCACCCCACAGAUUCUGACAAUGGAGUAUGUUCCAGGGAUUAAAAUAAACAAAAUACAAGCUUUAGACCAGCUGGGUGUUGACCGGAAAAGGUUAGCGAGAUAUGCUGUUGAAUCAUACUUGGAGCAGAUUUUGUCACAUGGUUUCUUCCAUGCUGACCCCCAUCCUGGAAAUAUUGCAGUCGAUGAUGUCAAUGGUGGUAGAUUGAUCUUUUAUGAUUUUGGUAUGAUGGGAAGUAUCAGUCCAAAUAUCAGAGAAGGUUUACUCGAAGCUUUUUAUGGAAUUUAUGAGAAGAGUCCUGAUAAGGUCCUUCAAGCAAUGAUUCAGAUGGGCGUUCUUGUCCCAACUGGAGAUAUGACUGCUGUUAAACGAACCGCACAGUUCUUCCUCAAUAGUUUUGAAGAACGCCUUGCUGCACAAAGGAGAGAGAGAGAGUUGGAAGCAGCUGAAGAUGGAUUCAAAAAGCCGUUAAGCAAGGAAGAAAAAGUAAUGAAGAAGAAAGAACGUCUGGCUGCUAUUGGUGAAGAUUUAUUAGCCAUUGCAGCAGACCAGCCCUUCCGGUUUCCUGCUACAUUCACAUUCGUUGUUAGAGCCUUCUCGGUUUUGGAUGGCAUUGGAAAGGGACUUGACACCCGUUUUGAUAUUACCGAGAUUGCCAAACCUUAUGCUCUGGAGUUGCUGAGAUUCCGUGAAGCAGGAGUUGAAGUUAUCAUAAAGGACUUUAGAAAGAGGUGGGACAGACAAUCUCAAGCCUUUUACAACUUAUUUAGACAGGCUGACAGGGUUGAAAAGCUGGCUAACGUUAUCCAGAGAUUGGAGCAAGGCGAUCUAAAGCUUAGAGUCCGAGCUUUGGAAUCUGAGAGAGCAUUCCAACGUGUUGCAGCUGUGCAGAAAACAAUUGGGAAUGCAGUAGCUGCUGGGAGCUUAAUAAAUCUUGCAACAAUUCUGUAUCUCAAUUCAAUUAGGGGGCCUGCCACUAUAGCAUAUUUCUUUUGUGCUAUAUUUGGUUUUCAAGUUCUCUUUGGCAUUGUGAAGGUCAAGAAGUUAGAUGAGCGGGAACGGUUGAUUACAGGGACUGCAUAAGCAUCUACAAGGUCGUGUGCGUCUUACCCAUCCCAGACACAAUGAUGGGAGAGCGAGAGCCUUGUCCAAUCGUCUGCCCUUUUCAUGGUGUUUAUUUCUGCUUCCCUGCUCCCGGUGGAUACAUAAGCUGCAUACAUUUGAGCCUCCUCAGAUCAGACCUGACAGUGGUGGGAACUUGCCCAUUGCAGUUAUAGGAUGGACAUUUGCCCAUGUUAAGAUCAUGGUCAAAAGUCAACCUUCAGAGCAUCAAUAAGCAGCUCAAUGUAGUAGCCAACAUCAUGAAAGACAUCAGUGUGCAAAAACAUUCAACUGGAAGUUGCAGGUAUAUUGGAGGCUUCUUUUGUUCAACUGGUUAAUUUGCUUAGAGGAUCAGACUUGAGGUACUCAAUCGGCUAGCCACAUUUUUGUCAAUAAUACGAAACCCUCUCCUUCCAUAAUUUUAUCCUCGAGGUCAAGUAACAUUAUUAUUGUUUUUCUCUAGUACCUCAUAUCUGUAUUAGUAAAUUAUAUAGGGAUUAGUAUAGGUUUAAUGUUAUGAGUACCAUAUUGGUAUAAUAUGGCUUCCAAUAAAUUGACAUCAGGAAGCUAUGCUUGUAACUUACGUACAUAAAUUUGUUCAAUGAAAAUGCAAGUGUAUGUAUUUACCAACCAUA